AGUUCUAGACCCAGGGCGGGGUUGGGGGGCGGUGUCUCUCUAGGUCCCGGUGGAGCCUCUGGGGUGGGGUGCCUGUCUGUCAGCCCUCGUCUCCGCGGCGCCCCUUCGUCCCUCCCUCGAUCGGCCUCUCCGGCAGGGCCGCGGGGACUGAAGUGUCACUGGGGGUCAGUCGGCUGUGGCUCCCUUGGCCAAGCGGCAUCGCGGCUCCGACUCUGCCGCUCCGGGCCUCCUCGGGCUGACUUACCUCGGCGCGCGCCCGCAGGUGUGCGCGGGGCGGAGGGAGUUCUCGCCCAGCUUCUGGGGCUCCUUUCCCCGCUCGCUCCGCACCCGAGGAGCCGCGCCCCCGAGCCGGGCCCCAAGCAGGGGCGCUCGGGGCCGCCCCGCGGUCCCCGUGGCGGGUGUGGAGGGAGAGGGGUGGCGCCCCUCGCGCCGCCUGCAGGCGCGGGGGCGGCCGAGGCGCGCGGAGCCGGAGGCGGGGAGCGGCAGGCCCGGGGCCCGGGUCUCCGCCUCCCGGCCUCCCUCCGGGCUGCCCCCUCGGCGCGGCUCCUCCCCCGGCGCCCCGCCUCCGGGUCGGCUCCCUCGGCGCCGCGCCGCCACCGAGCCCCGAGCAGCCUGGCCGUCGCGGCCGCCGCGCCACCAAACUUUCCCCGGAGCCGGCGCCGAUUCCCUGGAGAACAGAAUGCCUCACUGCACCCUGGAUUCCUUCAACAGCGGGGGUUGAAGGUCAACAGCUGCAGAGGCACAAGGUUCAAUCUCCACGGAGGCAGACGGCAAAUGCUAUUGUGCAGUCCCUGGCAGAUGCUCUUGGCAAGCACCAAUUUGUAGUUGACAGGCAAGUACCAAUUUGUAGCUGACAAUAUGCUGUCUAGGUUUGUCAUAGCUUUCCUUCCAAGGAGCAGAUGUCUUUUAAUUUCAUGGGGGCAAUCACCAUCCGCAGGGAUUUUGGAGCCCAAGAAAAUAAAACGUUUCACUGCUUCCACUUUUUCUUCUUCUAUUUGCCAUGAAGUGAUGAGACUGGAUGCCAUGAUCUUAGUUUUUUGAAUGUUGAGUUUUAAGCCAGCUUUUUCACUCUUCUCUUUCACCCUCAUCAAAACGCUGCUUAGUUCCUCUUUGCUUUUUGUCAGUAGAGUGGUAUCAUCUGCAUAUCUGAGGUUGUUCACUAAGCGUAAUGCGUUCUAAGUCCAUGUGUGUUGUGGCAGAUGGCAACUUUUAUUUCUUUGUUAU
This 1224-nucleotide long non-coding RNA is filed under the name Capra hircus (goat). RNAcentral describes it as "lncRNA (ENSCHIG00000000806.1)". The record is from RNAcentral. Lineage: Eukaryota; Metazoa; Chordata; Mammalia; Artiodactyla; Bovidae.